GACGAACGCUGGCGGCGUGCUUAACACAUGCAAGUCGAACGGAAAGGCGCGGCUUUUGUUGGGUGCUCGAUUGGCGAACGGGGGUGUAACACGUGAGUAACCUCCCCUUGUCUUUGUGAUAACUUCAGGAAACUGGGGCUAACACCGGAGAGGAGCUCCUGCAGCAUGGUGGUCGUUGGAAAGUUUCGGCGGUGGGGGAUCGACUCGCGGGUUAUCAGCUUGUUGGUGGAGUAGUUGCGUACCAAGGUUUUGACGGGUAGCCGGCCUGAGAGGGUGGCCGGCGACAAUGGGACUGAGAGAGGGAGCAGACGGGAACGGGAGGCAGAGGUCGAAAGUAUGGCAGAAUGAGGGGAAGUGUGAUGUGGAGGCGUCGGGUGCGGAAUGCCGGGCUUCGGGUUGUGAACAGCUUUGGCAUGAGACGAAGCGUGAGUGACGGUAAUGGGUCAAGAAGCACCGGCUAACUACGUG
RNAcentral lists this ribosomal RNA (468 nucleotides) under uncultured bacterium. RNAcentral's name for it is "partial 16S ribosomal RNA". It matches the Rfam family "Bacterial small subunit ribosomal RNA", at positions 28 to 507 of the family's 1533-position model. The record is from RNAcentral.